CGUCCGCCGGCGACCGGCGCACGGGUGAGUAACACGUAUGCAACCUGCCCCUGUCAGGGGGACAACCCGCCGAAAGGCGGGCUAAACCCGCGUACAUGCCACCGGGGCAUCCCGGAGGCAGGAAAGGCUUCGGCCGGACAGGGAUGGGCAUGCGGCGCAUUAGGCAGUAGGCGGGGUAACGGCCCACCUAACCGACGAUGCGUAGGGGUUCUGAGAGGAAGGUCCCCCACACUGGUACUGAGACACGGACCAGACUCCUACGGAAGGCAGCAG
Molecule: ribosomal RNA, 273 nt
Filed under: uncultured bacterium
Lineage: Bacteria
Description: partial 16S ribosomal RNA
Rfam family: Bacterial small subunit ribosomal RNA
Source: RNAcentral